AUGAAGCAUUUUUCUGGUGUUCUUAAUUUCCAAAGAGAAUCAUGGAGGUAUCUUCAAACUAAGCAACAGAAACCACGACAUUCUGAGAAGGUUGUUUGUUGCAUCCAUAUGAUCUUAAGAGUCAUUUCUAUUCCUCGUCAGAUGAUACUGCAAUUAAUGGAGAAUGUGAACUCGAGUGCUGCGGAAUGGAGGUUGUCUGUUUCAACUGAGCUACAAGGUUAUAACAUACAUGGCGCCGAUUGUGAGAGCCAACCAAAGCCACGAUCACUGUUCAAUUUCAGUCAACAGACAAUCCAACUAAAGCCACCAUGGCCAUCAUUUUCAUGCAAUUGCCAAGCUGUGCAGGUGCGGUCAGCAUUACUUACCGGUGACCCACCUGAUGACUACGUUGACACCAACUCCAGUCUGUCGUCGUGGACACGAUGGGCAGCGUCAAUCCUGUUCCAAACUGCGCAUCUAUGGGUGCGGCCACUGCCUACACCAUCCCAUCUUCCAGAUGAGCUGAGCUUCACUCCCGUCUGGUUCGCAUCUUCACUAAUUGGUCCUCCUGUUGAGAACAUGUACAGCAGAAUAAAGUUGCGACCGCUUCCAUGGCCAUCCUGGGAGUGUUACAGAGGCUGGAAGUUUUUGGUCAGGCAAGCGCCAUCCUUCAUAGAAGGGAGGUCUCAUCAUCCGUGGCCAAUAUUGGUAUAUUGGGGCAGUCUGGAGUUGAACCUUAUACUGCGUAGUCCUCAUACUAGUAUUUUAGAUCAAAUGCGUCAGUAUGAGUAUGAAAGACGUACUAGCCUGGGAAGUGUUACCCAAAUCAGUGGUGGUCAUGAAGCAGUGCAGGGCACUAUGAUGCGUAUGGAUAUAUCAACGAAUUGGCAUUUUUUGCGAAAAGAAGAAUUUGAGAGGAGUGGAAUUUAUUCACAUGACAGCAUGAUAUUUGGUGGCAAGGAAGCGCUUAUCGCGCGAUUAUUAACCAUCACAGGUUCACAACGACAAUGGUUUUCAAGUAGUUCUGCUCAUAUAUUUAUCGAGGAAAAUGUUCCAGAGAUUUGCAAUCAGCCGACCUUGUGUGCAAGAGUGCUACACGGCCAACGUAUACCAGUCUUAGAUGCCCCAAUUCAUGCUGAAUGUGUUCCAUCUUGUUUCUGUGCUACACUCUAUUCAAAGGAUCUGGGGUUACAUACUUCUGCUAGAGGAUUCUUGCUCCUUCCAAAUAACAAUGGUACAUCUGGUGCAUGGUUGCAGCGAGAAAAAUUUCAACGAGGGAGGGGUGUCACAGUUCUGGCUACAUUCUUUGAGCAAGCCCCCAUUGGCCACCGCUACUACCACGACUUCGGCGCCACCGCUACUACCACGACUUCGGCCACAACGAUGCCGACAACGAUCACAACUAAAGUAUCUCACUGA
Molecule: ribosomal RNA, 1398 nt
Filed under: Triticum aestivum (bread wheat)
Lineage: Eukaryota; Viridiplantae; Streptophyta; Magnoliopsida; Poales; Poaceae
Description: partial small subunit ribosomal RNA
Source: RNAcentral